GCGCAUCUGGUGUAGUGGUAUCAUAGUACCCUCCCACGGUACUGACCAGGGUCCGAUUCCCUGGAUGCGCA
RNAcentral lists this transfer RNA (71 nucleotides) under Triticum aestivum (bread wheat). It matches the Rfam family "tRNA". From Rfam's summary of the family: Transfer RNA (tRNA) molecules are approximately 80 nucleotides in length. The record is from Rfam by way of RNAcentral. Lineage: Eukaryota; Viridiplantae; Streptophyta; Magnoliopsida; Poales; Poaceae. RNAcentral also lists the same sequence under 1 other name.